CCUACGGGUGGCUGCAGUGAGGAAUAUUGGUCAAUGGGCGCGAGCCUGAACCAGCCAAGUCGCGUGAAGGAUGACGGCCCUACGGGUUGUAAACUUCUUUUGUCCGGGAGCAAUCGGGUCCACGCGUGGGCUUAGCGAGAGUACCUGAAGAAAAAGCAUCGGCUAACUCCGUGCAAGCAGCCGCGGUAAUACGGGGGAUGCGAGCGUUAUCCGGAUUUAUGGGGUUUAAAGGGUGCGUAGGCGGAAUAUCAAGUCGGCGGGAAAAAUUCGGGGCUCAACCCCGUCGUUCCGUUAAAACUGAUGGUAUUGAGAGGGCGUGAAGUAUGCGGAAUGCGUGGUGUAGCGGGGAAAUGCAUAGAGAUCACGCAGAACUCCGAUUGCGAAGGCAGCAUACCGGCGCCCAACUGACGCUGAAGCACGAAAGCGUGGGUAUCGAACAGGAUUAGAUACCCGGGUAGUC
Molecule: ribosomal RNA, 460 nt
Filed under: uncultured bacterium
Lineage: Bacteria
Description: partial 16S ribosomal RNA
Rfam family: Bacterial small subunit ribosomal RNA
Source: RNAcentral